Non-coding RNA from Caenorhabditis elegans, 133 nucleotides. Lineage: Eukaryota; Metazoa; Nematoda; Chromadorea; Rhabditida; Rhabditidae. The record is from Ensembl.
ACAUGAAGAUGAGAAGAAGGGACACACACAGAAGCACUCUUGGACGACGUCCUUUCUUUCAAUAAAACAGGGAAACAGACGAAUGUGGAGGGGGCAUAGGAACCGGAGCAUAGGCUCUAGGAGUCGACUGAAU